Molecule: transfer RNA, 70 nt
Filed under: Stegastes flavilatus (beaubrummel damselfish)
Lineage: Eukaryota; Metazoa; Chordata; Actinopteri; Pomacentridae
Description: tRNA-Arg
Rfam family: tRNA
About the family: Transfer RNA (tRNA) molecules are approximately 80 nucleotides in length. Their secondary structure includes four short double-helical elements and three loops (D, anti-codon, and T loops). Further hydrogen bonds mediate the characteristic L-shaped molecular structure. tRNAs have two regions of fundamental functional importance: the anti-codon, which is responsible for specific mRNA codon recognition, and the 3' end, to which the tRNAs corresponding amino acid is attached (by aminoacyl-tRNA synthetases). tRNAs cope with the degeneracy of the genetic code in two manners: having more than one tRNA (with a specific anti-codon) for a particular amino acid; and 'wobble' base-pairing, i.e. permitting non-standard base-pairing at the 3rd anti-codon position.
Source: RNAcentral
AGGUAAUUAGUUUAAUUAAAAACUUUUGAUUUCGGCUCAAAGUAUUGUGGUUAAAAUCCGCGAUUCCCUG